This 460-nucleotide ribosomal RNA is filed under the name uncultured bacterium. RNAcentral's name for it is "partial 16S ribosomal RNA". It matches the Rfam family "Bacterial small subunit ribosomal RNA", at positions 338 to 795 of the family's 1533-position model. The record is from RNAcentral.
CCUACGGGUGGCAGCAGUGAGGAAUAUUGGUCAAUGGGCGAGAGCCUGACCCAGCCAAGUCGCGUGAAGGAUGAAGGAUCUAUGUAUUGUAAACUUCUUUUAUAUGGGAACAAAGUGUGGGACGCGUUCCUUUUUGUAUGUACCUUAUGAAUAAGCAUCGGCUAACUCCGUGACAGCAGCCGCGGUAAUACGGAGGAUGCGAGCGUUCUCCGGAUUUAUUGGGUUUAAAGGGUGCGUAGGUGGUUAAUUAAGUCAGCGGUGAAAGUUUGUGGCUCAACCAUAAGACUGCCGUUGAAACUGGUUGACUUGAGUAUAUGAGAGGUAGGCGGAAUGCGCGGUGUAGCGGUGAAAUGCAUAGAUAUCACGCAGAACUCCGAUUGCGAAGGCAGCUUACUGAACUAUAACUGACACUGAAGCACGAAAGCGUGGGGAUCAAACAGGAUUAGAUACCCCAGUAGUC